AUAUUAAUGAUGAUUAUCUGUCACUGAAUGCACAAAUUUAAGCUAUUUUUGUGAAAAUUAGUGCUCAAAAGAUGUCGCAUUUGCGAGGCAUUUGUCUGAAAAGAUU
Molecule: small nucleolar RNA, 106 nt
Organism: Teleopsis dalmanni
Lineage: Eukaryota; Metazoa; Arthropoda; Insecta; Diptera; Diopsidae
Product: small nucleolar RNA Me28S-Am2589
Exons: 1
Source: RefSeq, a predicted model, not a curated record